Molecule: ribosomal RNA, 315 nt
Filed under: Monacha pantanellii
Lineage: Eukaryota; Metazoa; Mollusca; Gastropoda; Stylommatophora; Hygromiidae
Description: partial large subunit ribosomal RNA
Source: RNAcentral
AAUCAAUUGGCUUAUAAUUGAAGUCUGGAAUGAAAGGGAAAUUGGGGUUAGACUGUCUUAUGUAGAUACCUAGAAGUUACUAAAUAGGUGAAAAUUCCUAUACGGGGAAAAAAGACGAGAAGACCCUAGAAAUUUUAAUAAUAAACCACUUUAUUUUUGUUGGGGCGACAGGGUAACAGAAAACUUACCUCCUAUAUAGGCAGUUUAUAAACUGUGCAAUCAAAUUACUCUAGGGAUAACAGCAUAAUAUUUUAAAGAUUGUGACCUCGAUGUUGGACUAGGGAGUAUAAUACUUAAAAGGUAUUAUAAUUGGCU